RNAcentral lists this ribosomal RNA (254 nucleotides) under uncultured bacterium. RNAcentral describes it as "partial 16S ribosomal RNA". It matches the Rfam family "Bacterial small subunit ribosomal RNA", at positions 524 to 776 of the family's 1533-position model. The record is from RNAcentral.
CACGUAGGGCCCGAGCGUUGUCCGGAUUUAUUGGGCGUAAAGAGUUCGUAGGCGGUUCAGCAAGUCGGGUGUGAAAACUCUGGGCUCAACCCAGAGACGCCACCCGAUACUGCUGUGACUAGAGUCCGGUAGGGGAGUGGGGAAUUCCAGGUGUAGCGGUGAAAUGCGUAGAUAUCAGGAGGAACACCGGUGGCGAAGGCGGCUUGCUGGGCCUUACCUGACGCUGAGGAGCGAAAGCGUGGGGAGCGAACAGG